RNAcentral lists this ribosomal RNA (253 nucleotides) under uncultured bacterium. RNAcentral describes it as "partial 16S ribosomal RNA". It matches the Rfam family "Bacterial small subunit ribosomal RNA", at positions 524 to 776 of the family's 1533-position model. The record is from RNAcentral.
GACGAACCGUGCGAACGUUGUUCGGAAUCACUGGGCUUAAAGGGCGCGUAGGCGGUCCGGCGCGUCCGGGGUGAAAGCCUCCAGCUUAACUGGAGAAGUGCCCCGGAUACGGCCGGACUCGAGUGGGGUAGGGGCGUGUGGAACUUCCGGUGGAGCGGUGAAAUGCGUAGAUAUUGGGAAGAACACCAGUGGCGAAAGCGGACUUCUGGGUUGUUACUGACGCUGAGGUACGAAAGCGUGGGGAGCAAACGGG